RNAcentral lists this ribosomal RNA (830 nucleotides) under Flavobacterium sp. RI02. RNAcentral describes it as "bacterial SSU rRNA". It matches the Rfam family "Bacterial small subunit ribosomal RNA", at positions 18 to 854 of the family's 1533-position model. Lineage: Bacteria; Pseudomonadati; Bacteroidota; Flavobacteriia; Flavobacteriales; Flavobacteriaceae. The record is from RNAcentral.
UAUGGCUCAGGAUGAACGCUAGCGGCAGGCUUAACACAUGCAAGUCGAGGGGUAGAGGCUUUCGGGCCUUGAGACCGGCGCACGGGUGCGUAACGCGUAUGCAAUCUGCCUUUCACAGAGGGAUAGCCCAGAGAAAUUUGGAUUAAUACCUCAUAGCAUAACCAAGCCGCAUGGUUUGGUUAUUAAAGUCACAACGGUGAAAGAUGAGCAUGCGUCCCAUUAGCUAGUUGGUAAGGUAACGGCUUACCAAGGCGACGAUGGGUAGGGGUCCUGAGAGGGAGAUCCCCCACACUGGUACUGAGACACGGACCAGACUCCUACGGGAGGCAGCAGUGAGGAAUAUUGGUCAAUGGGCGCAAGCCUGAACCAGCCAUGCCGCGUGCAGGAUGACGGUCCUAUGGAUUGUAAACUGCUUUUGCACAGGAAGAAACACUCCGACGUGUCGGAGCUUGACGGUACUGUGAGAAUAAGGAUCGGCUAACUCCGUGCCAGCAGCCGCGGUAAUACGGAGGAUCCAAGCGUUAUCCGGAAUCAUUGGGUUUAAAGGGUCCGUAGGCGGUCUUGUAAGUCAGUGGUGAAAGCCCAUCGCUCAACGGUGGAACGGCCAUUGAUACUGCAGGACUUGAAUUAUUGGGAAGUAACUAGAAUAUGUAGUGUAGCGGUGAAAUGCUUAGAGAUUACAUGGAAUACCAAUUGCGAAGGCAGGUUACUACCAAUUUAUUGACGCUGAUGGACGAAAGCGUGGGUAGCGAACAGGAUUAGAUACCCUGGUAGUCCACGCCGUAAACGAUGGAUACUAGCUGUUGGGAGCAAUCUCAGUGGCUAAGCGC